GAUGAACGCUAGCGGCAGGCCUAACACAUGCCAGUCGAGGGAGAAGCCCUUUCGGGGGCAGAAACCGGCGCACGGGUGCGUAACGCGUAUGCAACCUACCUUUCACAGGGGGAUAGCCCGAAGAAAUUUGGAUUAAUACCCCAUAAUAUUAUUGGAUGGCAUCAUUUGAUAAUUAAAACUGCGGUGGUGAAAGAUGGGCAUGCGUCCUAUUAGCUAGUUGGAGUGGUAACGGCACCCCAAGGCUACGAUAGGUAGGGGUCCUGAGAGGGAGAUCCCCCACACUGGUACUGAGACAGGGACCAGACUCCUACGGGAGGCAGCAGUGAGGAAUAUUGGUCAAUGGUCGGAAGACUGAACCAGCCAUGCCGCGUGCAGGAAGAAUGCCUUAUGGGUUGUAAACUGCUUUUAUAUGGGAAGAAUAAGGCGUACGUGUACGUUGAUGACGGUACCAUAUGAAUAAGCAUCGACUAACUCCGUG
RNAcentral lists this ribosomal RNA (478 nucleotides) under uncultured bacterium. RNAcentral's name for it is "partial 16S ribosomal RNA". It matches the Rfam family "Bacterial small subunit ribosomal RNA", at positions 28 to 507 of the family's 1533-position model. The record is from RNAcentral.